CCACUAAACAUUGGACGUCGUAUGGACGUUGAGAUGAUGUCUAUAUUGCGUCCGUCGGUCCAUGACCAAUUCUGAACUUUAGAACGACGUGCAAACUAGGUCCACUAUUUGGACGUCCAAUAAUGACCCCAUUUGUACGUCAAUAUGUAGUUGAACAUUUGGACGUCGGUGUAGGUCACUUUUUUGGACGUCUAAAACAGGUGCAGGGAAUUAACAUGAUUUAAGUAAUUUAUUAUUAUUAGUAGUAGUAGUAGCCUAGUAGCAGUAGGCUAGUAGUAAUACAAAAUAAAUGUAAAAUACCAACAUUGUUCUUACCAACAUGAUGAAUGUGAUCAUUAUUAUUAUUAGUAGUAGUAAUAGGCCUCGUACACUCUAAAAAAUGCUGGGUUAUUUCUGCACCCAAUUACUGGGUUGUGGCAGUUUGACCAUUUAUUGGGUUAUGUUAGCCCAUGCUGGGUUAUUUUCCAUAAUCCAGCCACAGGGUUGGUGGUUUGGAACUCAAUCUCCAACAUGGUAUUCUACCCACUGUCUGGGUCACUGGUAGCCUAAGUAAUGGGUUAAUUUACAGAGUAUUUUAAGGUCAACAUCUCAAGAGUAGACUACAAUAAAAAUGUCAGGCACAUUAAGUCACUUUUUUACUGAAAAUUGCGAACUGCAACAAAUUCUUUGAGAGUUAAAUACCAUAAGGAAUGAGCAUGUGUAGGCUAUGCAACUCCUGUGUCUACUAGUUGCAAAGAAAUCGUUUUGGCUUUGUCUAGCUUUCAUUUGGUGAUUGCUGAUAAAAAAAGACACUUUCAACAAGUUGUUAAACGUUUGCCUCUCAGUCUUGCUCUGCUUUUAACCCUCUGACAGCAAUUUGAAUUGCACUUGAACCGCACAGCAUUGUGGGGCGAUUUCUAACGUUCAUCCCCUGCCUCCCACCCAUAGACAGUAAAAGAAAGUUCCGACCCCUGACAAAGUCAAAUCCAGUAACUUCAACUAUUACUUUUCUGCUUGUGUGAGCUGUCUAAACUCUGCCGUCAUCAUAUCCAAGGCGUUAUGAUGUGAGGACUGCUGCCCUGAGAACGCUGAGUGCAUAUGUGUAAAAAAAAAAGAUCCCAGAAUUAGUUUUUAUUUUCAUUAGGUGAAUCUGGUCAUGUUUGCAAUAAUCUGGUCAUGUUUGCAGUAAAGAUGGGGGAAACAACAGUCGGGAUUGGAUUGUGAUUUAUUGUUAAUCUGACUGUAAGGUGUCCAGAAGGUAGGAACCUGUUCCAGUUCAUUUUACUGAAGCUUCAUUUGGCUCGACAGCAGAUUUGAAGUGGAAAUGUAUGUCUUGGUAUGCAUUUCCAGUUACCAUCUGCUGGUGAGAAAGUCAAAUAAAGCUAUAGGAAAAUUAACUGGAACAGCAUGUCACCUGAAAUGGGACUGUCGUGUAUGCAUGGUGUAUGUGCAGCUUAUUGCUAUGCAUGUUACACUGUUUUUGCUGUUACCUGCUGUGUAUUUUAACAUUUGGGUUAAUGGACUCCUUGAGUGGCUGUGUAUUAGACUGACUAGUGACACCUGGAGAGGACUGAUGGGGAUGUAAUAGACUGAUUUUGUGCACCUGUGAAGGGGGAGGGGUUCAUUCACAUUGGUUGAUUAACCACUUGCUUUCACCUGGCCUGGUGCUUUAUAUGAGCUUGCGAGGUGACUGGCAGGAGGGGGCCUUGAGAGGGAGAUGCGACAGCAACUGGCACAACGGUAGAGAGCCCACCAUCAACGCAAGCUAAGUACCCUGUUAAGGGAAGUUUUCUGUAGCCCUACUUGCUAUGCGUUAGUAAGUUGGUAGACAAAGUGGCUGGUGGCUCAUAAAUGUUUGUUGUCCGUUGCAGCUCAGGUUUACAUCAGCCGAGCAACAACGCGAUCUGGGGGAAUGCUGGAAGUGCCAAUGAACACCGCCGGAUGUAACGUUGACUGUGUCUGCUGAACAACCGAAGUACAUUCAGGGAAGAAUCCGCCCUGAUUUGGACUUGUGGAUGACCUGGCGCCGAAAGUGCAGUACCGGCUACAUCGGAGCGCGCCCUGUGGACUAUUCUUUUAAAACUCUGGUCGACUUCUUGCAGCGGACUUUCCUUUAUGUGUUGUGUCUGUUGUCUACGUGACUCGUCAGCCCAGCUGUAAACGCAGAGUGGACAGAAGACGUUGGGUGAGCGGAACUGAGUUUAAGGUGUAGCGUAAUCUGAUUCUCAUUGUGUGUGGGUUUAAUUAUGAAUUGCUGUGCCCUCUCAGUAUUUUGAAUGUAUAUUCACCUAGAUAACUUAUUUACCUGCAUUAUUAAUCUGUUUCUGCUUGCCAGUUGGGGGUGCUUGCGACGGGACUGCAAUGUUUAUAGCUGGGCUGCUGUGAGUCCUCUAUGUAAAUUUUAGUAACUGUGCAAUAAAAGCAUAAACUGUU
Long non-coding RNA from Alosa sapidissima (American shad), 2412 nucleotides. RefSeq lists it as uncharacterized. NCBI's taxonomy places the organism in Eukaryota, Metazoa, Chordata, Actinopteri, Clupeiformes, Clupeidae. The transcript has 2 exons. The record is from RefSeq and is a predicted model, not a curated record.